RNAcentral lists this ribosomal RNA (871 nucleotides) under uncultured bacterium. RNAcentral describes it as "bacterial SSU rRNA". It matches the Rfam family "Bacterial small subunit ribosomal RNA", at positions 55 to 916 of the family's 1533-position model. The record is from RNAcentral.
AUGCAAGUCGAGGGGCAGCGGAGAGGUAGCAAUACCUUUGCCGGCGACCGGCGCACGGGUGAGUAACACGUAUGCAAUCCACCUGUAACAGGGGGAUAACCCGGAGAAAUCCGGACUAAUACCCCAUAAUAUGGGCGCUCCGCAUGGAGAGCCCAUUAAAGAGAGCAAUUUUGGUUACAGACGAGCAUGCGCUCCAUUAGCCAGUUGGCGGGGUAACGGCCCACCAAGGCGACGAUGGAUAGGGGUUCUGAGAGGAAGGUCCCCCACAUUGGAACUGAGACACGGUCCAAACUCCUACGGGAGGCAGCAGUGAGGAAUAUUGGCCAAUGGUCGGCAGACUGAACCAGCCAAGUCGCGUGAGGGAAGACGGCCCUACGGGUUGUAAACCUCUUUUGUCGGAGAGUAAAGUACGCUACGCGUAGCGUAUUGCAAGUAUCCGAAGAAAAAGCAUCGGCUAACUCCGUGCCAGCAGCCGCGGUAAUACGGAGGAUGCGAGCGUUAUCCGGAUUUAUUGGGUUUAAAGGGUGCGUAGGCGGCACGCCAAGUCAGCGGUGAAAUUUCCGGGCUCAACCCGGAGUGUGCCGUUGAAACUGGCGAGCUAGAGUGCACAAGAGGCAGGCGGAAUGCGUGGUGUAGCGGUGAAAUGCAUAGAUAUCACGCAGAACCCCGAUUGCGAAGGCAGCCUGCUAGGGUGCGACAGACGCUGAGGCACGAAAGCGUGGGUAUCGAACAGGAUUAGAUACCCUGGUAGUCCACGCAGUAAACGAUGAAUACUAACUGUUUGCGAUACAAUGUAAGCGGUACAGCGAAAGCGUUAAGUAUUCCACCUGGGGAGUACGCCGGCAACGGUGAAACUCAAAGGAAUUGACGG